Long non-coding RNA from Tyto alba (common barn owl), 9065 nucleotides. RefSeq lists it as uncharacterized. The record is from RefSeq and is a predicted model, not a curated record. Lineage: Eukaryota; Metazoa; Chordata; Aves; Strigiformes; Tytonidae. The transcript is spliced from 2 exons.
UUCCACCACUGUAACACUGCUUUGUUACAGGUACUGAGCAGGGCAGUUUCCAGAUGAGUUGUUAUGGAGUUUGGUGCCAUAUGCAGAAAAAGCAGUCUUUAUGCCAUUUGCAUUACUUUUAGUUGAAUGAGUCUGGCUCUGUUCCUGGAAAUGAUGUUGCCAUUUUUGCUGUCUCUUCUGCUUCAGGAUGCCGUUAGGAUGGGCUUGUGUGGAGAGGUGUGGCAUCAGGCAGCACAGUGGGUUUGGGAACUGCACGCUUGUGGACAUUUCACAGUACUUUCUGCUGGUGUCAUUGGCCUGAGGACAAAUGUCCUUUACUUUAAAACGGAAUUAGGUCUUGACUGCUUACGGCAUGGCCAACCCUCAGCAGGUAGUGUCUUAUCUAGAUUUCCAGGGAAGAUCCUGCUGCUGCCCGUUGGUUUAGAAACAUUGCUUUUGACUAUGACUUUCAGCUGAAUAACUGAAAAGGUUUUUCAGCAGCUGCUUCAUUUCCUGCACUAGUUCUGACCAAAUCCGAUGUUUUCUAGGAAACCUCCUGCUGCUUCCCUGCUGUCACCAUGGAGAUGAUGCUCUUGGUGCAUGUUCCUCCUCCCUUCUCUUGCAGAGGGGAAAAGUGAAGGAGUAAUUCCUGCUCUCUUGCCUGCAGCUGGAGACAAGCCACAGUGUUUGCCGAAGCGUUUCCAUGACUUGGGUCUGUAUUGUCAAAACUGCCUGAAAUGGCAUUGCUGUAGCUCAUCCCUUAGCAUGCACGACCCUAAACCAAUGUAUUUGGAGCUACUUUUAAGAGCUGUAGUUUAUUUUGGAAAGCAGGAGAAGCUGUUUGUUCAGAUGUCUUAUCUCUAAUCUCAGUUUUCUACUUGAGUGCUUGAGGAUAGGAGUCAGGAAGCAGCUGAACUAGAAAAAGAAAAGGAGAGGAAUGAAGAAGGGAAAUCAAAAACACUUGCCAAAAGUCUCUGAAACUUGUACUCUUGAUCUCAAAUUUUCUGGCGUUUGGCAGUGCUUCGCCUGUGUCCCUGCUGAUUAUUGCUUGAUGGGCUGGGUGGCCACUGUAACUCUUGGCAAAUAGCAGGGGCUGUCUGACUUAAUCAGUAGUCUGUUGGUGCAGGCAGCUUUUCAUUUCAGGUUGCCUGAAGGAAACCUGCCAACAAUCCAGAAAGCCUCUCUGGAAUACUGAAAGAAAAAUAGAAGUUUUUCUGCGGCGGUUGUGGAGGAUGGGGUCUGUAAGCUGCCGCUCACCCAGCCUGCGUGGGGAAAUGUCUCUGCUGGGCGAAAGGCAGGAGUGCUGAACAAGGGAUGCUGUGCACUCCAGGGGAGUGUGGAGCAUUCUUUCAACCCAACAGACACAAUAAAUGAGGAAACCUCUGGGCAUCUCUUCAGUGCAGAAUCCACCAGGCUUUGAAAUGCUGUCCUAGCCCAAACGUACACCAACGCUUAUUCAAGGUACGUGCCUUAAGAUGCAGAAUCUUGCUGAGAACCAGACUUGUCUGUGGUACAGAAGCAAGCCAUUUAAUGGUUACAGUACAGGAGCAGGCACCUAGUCUUAUUUUUGUUUGAAGAUUAGCAUUAAAACAAAUUCCAGUUGACCGUUAGCAAAGGAUGUAUGUAGCUUAAGUGACAGUGCUAGUCUGAAUGUACUUACAUAUUGUGCAGAUACGUUAUUUCAUUUCUACAAUUUACCCCUAGGGAAUGGAAAAGUGUAAUUUUUUUAUGUUUGCAGAUCGUGAUAUUAAAACCCAGGCCUCCUAAAAUAUGCAAGGUUGUCCUGCACGGAAUUUAUGUCUAUCUCAGCAGGAACUGCAGAUAUUGCACAAAGCUUUUGCCCAGAAAGGUUAAAAACAUCCUGUCUGUUCAGCAAGACCAUGACUGAGCUAGAAAUAGUUCAGACGCCUGGGGCAGGAGAUGGUGAGGGAAUAGCUAAACCACUGAGUUAAUUCAAAACAGAAUAAAAACUUUUCUUUCAUUAUAUUGUCUUAUUAUUUUAUUGUUUUUUUCUGGCCACUUAUUUUACCUACCUUUUGCUUUAAGUGUAGAACAUCAAAUUUUGUGGAAAAGGGUAUUUAUUUCUCAUAGCUCUUUACACUGGAAAAAUAAUGGGACCUUUUAGUGCUCAUAUUAAAUGUUAUUAAUAUUGAUUAAAGCAUCAUUACUACUAUUAACCAGCAAUAUAUAUAAUGAUAAGAAUGUAGUGUGGGUGACCAGUGCCCUUCUGGUCGCUGCUCUGCAUGAGGGGACCCGUGCAGGGCUGGGCUCGCCGUCGCAGGCAGGGCUGCCCCAGUUACCUGGAGAUGAACUGGACUAUCGAUGGCAGCAUUUCAUCAGUCUGGUUUAUGCCUUAAGUGUAGCUCUAGGCUAAAAGGUAAUUUAAAAUGGCAUUUAAAUGUGAAUUCCUUAGCUUACAGGCUGUUUACAAUGGGCAUGAAAGGCAGAACAGAACUCACCCGAGAGCUUGCUAUGAGUUUGGAGUGAGGAGGGCGCUGAUGAAGGCUCACAAAGCUGCGGUGGAAGGGUCUGCUACUUGGGCAUUCGUAGACGUUCAUGAAUUAAAAAAUUUUUUUUCUGGGGGCUAGUAACAUGUCUUCCCCAGAGAAUGAGACAGCCUGGGGGCUCUGUUCCUCCUCUCUGCCGUUACUCAGCCUCCUCCCGUCACUCCCAGCGAAGGGUCCAGACCUGUCUCACAGCACGUCUUCACUAGGGGAGUAGGGAUUGCCUCUGUGAACGGUCCCACACGCUCCACCUGGUUGCUGCUUUGUUUCUGUCCCCCCGCCCCAGCCCACUCGCGGGUGGGGUGAGAGGCAGACAAGGCCUUGAUACUCAGCAUUAAGGAAAACAUCUCUGUAUUCUCAACGCUGCCUUCGGCACAAACCCGAAGCAGAGCCCCAUAUGUGCUAUUGUGAAGGAAAUUAACUCUAUCUCAGCCAAAGCCAACACACUAGGGCGUUUGCCGGUGGACAGAUUCGAUUUAGUUCAACACCAUCAUACUAGAAAGCACUUAAAUAAAAUUAAUAGCUAAUGCAGCAUUUGUCAAGAAGCAAGAGAGUAUGGCUGUGCCAUGUUUCAGCCUGUCAAUACUCGCCUGAUGCCCGCUGCCUGCCUUCAGGGCGUGGGAGAUGCCACAGGCCCCGUGCCAUGGCAAUGCUCUCCUCCCCCGGGUACGGCUGCCACCCAGAGGAGCCCUCUUUAAUUUCACCUGCACUUGGGCACUUGAAUUUAUCCGAGACUGAAUAUUCCUGAAAUAAUCAGGUCGGUGUAACGAUCGGACACGGCAGCAGGAACCGCACUGCCCUGGAGCCGAUCACCGAGGGGUGAGACAAACCUUUGGCUGCUCUUUAGCCCAGGUCCAGAGGUCUGUCUACAGAAAUUCAUCUGUCUCUUGGUCACGAGGUGUUGGAUUUGGGGGAACUUUCUCUGCUGGAGGAGUGCAGUAGGGCAGUGCUGACGUGAUGUCUUUGGAGGCCGCGUCUUGUCUGCCAGGUGCAGUGGUGGUUUUAGGGCUCAGGUGCGAUGCCGCGGCAGCUCAAGGAGCAGCACAGCCCUCCCUCGAGGGGAUGUGACGGGCCGGGGUGACACGGCUGGUGCAGAAGGCAGCGGAGCAGUUGCAGUAGCUGUUUUGCACGGAGGUGCAAGACCAGGCGCCGAGACCCCCUCCCCGCAGAGGAGGGGGUGAGCGUGCCCUCGGCCUCGCGAGAGCCCGUCUGCUGCGGGGCCGGCUCAGGGCUCAGCCCUUCGGAACUGCCUUCCCUGGCACUAAUCCCGUCUCUGUGCACAUUUCUGAUAAAAAAGGAUGCACAAGCGGGUGAAGACGGAUGCUGUCUCCCUGCGGAGGACUGGCCCGUCCCCGGGAAACUGCAGGUGCACAAGGGGAGGUGAGAACAGCACCCCGAGGUUUCCCCCUGCCAGAGACACGUCGGAGGAGAACCCCGUGCCCCGCUCUGCCUCUAAGGGGCCGAGCCGACGCUGAGCACCUCACCUCGUCCCGUCCCCUCGCACCCUGCCCGCCUGUGCCGCCUCACCUCCCCAGGCUCAAAAGCCCUUUGGGAGCAAGAACUGUCUCUCCCUGUUUGCUGAUACAGUACCUAAAGCAGAGGGGUCCUGAGUUCAGUGGGGCCUCCAGGCGACAGGACAACAGCACUAAUAGUGAGAAUUAAUAAUUCAUUUAUCACUUUACUCUCUGUGAAUAAUCUUCAAUAAUCAUGUACAAUUUGCUGCCUCAGUGAAUACUCUGAAAGUAAACAGAGCUGGUAGAAUAAAGUCACAGGAGUGAAAACCCCACGUAAAGGGAGUGAGAAAGUGGUCGAGACUAAUUAAUUAAAAAAAUUCCAAGGAGCGUUUGUGCAUAAUCAUUUGCAGUAUUUGCCCAGUUCUAGUAAUGACCUGGAUAAAGUAAACACAGGGGAAGGCAGAUAAAAAGGAAAGAGUUGCUCAAUCUCUUACAGAGCUCUCGUUAGAGAGCCAAGUGCCCAGGUAUGAUCCCAACAAGGGGCUCCUGUCCUGCAGUCACAGCCGUGGACUGGGUGGCCUAGGGGGGCCUUCUCCCUUCUGUCACCUCCUUAUGGGGUGAAGAAAGUGCCGUGAGAGAAAACUGCUUGCCACUGAAUUCCCAGUAGGUGGGAAUUAAAUUCACAAGGUCCAAAUGAUUGAGGCAUUCAGACUGCAGAUCAAAAUCAAGCGUGCACUGGAAAUGCAGAGAAAAUUACCUUUUCACGUGGUAUUGCAUUCAACACAACUAAGGGUGAGUUUGCAUAUAACGACCCAUAAUAACUAAAUGACAUUUACUUUCCCCGUUUGCUCCUGCCUUUCCUUCUCCCGUGAUUACUAGAUUGCUGGAUCCAUAGGGCUCUGCUGAUUCAUACCUAGACUAUCUGGCCCUUAUUUUCAUCUGUCUUUAUUGCAGAGCUGCUUGUGAAGACGGCAGAUACCAGCAGCAAGGAACUGUGUUGGGCUGCAGUGUUGUUAUGGGAAACUGUUGAACCCCAGCUCUGUUACCAAAUGGAAAUCUCUUUCAGAAACAGAUUCCACUUGAUUUAUAUUGUUUUACUUGUGGCAUGGUGUUUACAGUGCCUGCUCACGUUAUCCCUCGCUGAUGUAUAGUGAUGAUGCAUAAGUUAGAUUUCACAAUGCUGAGAAAAUUAACGCUUCAGGAGAAUUUAUCACCCCCGUUAUUGAUGUUCUGUCGGUAGCAGAGCACUAAUACUCUCUCCAGAGAAACUAAUGGCACUAACAAAAAUCACUGAACUGUUCUCAUCUAAAUAUCUAGAUAAAAGAUGGCAUUUCUGUAUGCAAGAAACAUUAUUUGGUGAUAGCAAGCUGUUAUCUGUUUCCCCCUUUACGAGUUACAGGGUAUUUGUUAGGUUUUUCUUUUUUUCUGGCCAACUUUCCGAAACAUGAUUUGGCAGAUGUUAUUUACUCACGCUUUGUUCUCUUACAUCUUUUUCCACAGAAGUAUUAAAGCAUUUAAUUUUAAUUUAGGCUACCAAUUCCCAUUCCUUUCAACUGGAAAUAACAUGUCUGGAUACCUGGGAGGAUCUGAGUCUCCGUGCUGAUCUUUGCACCGCUUUGGUUACUGCCCGGCUGUCAGACAGCAUUGCGCCUCAGCCGUCCUCAGCACUGACAACACUGAAACCACGAACCUCUGAUCUUGAAUGCGAUUUGCAAAUCCUCCCGAGCAAAUACUUUUGGAGAGAUGAAGCACAGUCAAAAGCCGGAUGCAGCCUUUAUCCAAAAAUGGGUUUGGACUCGAGGUGAGACUUAAUUUUAUGUUAAAUGUGAUCAUAAAGGCUUAGAUUUUCAAGGUAUGUGGAGGGUAAAUAACCUAAUUCUUGUCAGAUGCUUUAAGCUUCUUUGAACAUGUCGUGCACAAAUCGUGAUUUUGAGGAACAUCCAGGCUGUGAGCUGGACUUUAUCAUCACGGGCUUGGGUGUGUUUGCAUCUGUCAUCUUCCAUUGCACAGUGAGCUUAGAGUUCGGUGUAAAGCCUUUUGGAGUUUGUUUUCUCAUUGCCUUUUCCCUAUCCGCAAUGUGCCCUCUCUCCCUGUGAAGAUUAGAAGCUCCCUGCGAACAUGGCUGUGAGAUGGUUUGCAGCCUCUGCAGGGGGAGCGUAGAUGAUUUUCUCCACACAGUGCAAAUGAACAGGACUUUUGCAAAACAGACUCUGUGCUAAGUGGAAAAGCAGCUGAUUCUCUCUGCGGGUGAACACCCUGCCGGUGGCUACACCUGGGGAUUGCCUAGCAAGGUCCGUGGCCAGAGAAAUCAUGUCUGUCUUCUUCAGCUAUGUUACUCGAGGGUGGAGGGGUAGUUUUUGGAUAAGAAGAGUCAUUUGAUUUCUGUGCGUAGCAGUGGACUUCUCAAGCAUAUUAAUUAGUAGAAAUGAUGGAGACAGUCUCUUCAAAAUAGACCAUUAUUAACUGACAUAUCAACAGUAAUAAACUUCACGGGGGGCAUCCGGCAGUUGCUUAGCUGAUUAGACCGAUGGUUUACCGACAGCCCCGAGCUGGAGCUGAUCAGGAGGCUGAUCCUUUGAGGAAGGAGAUUUCCAUCCAUCCCUCCCUCCCUCCCUCCCUCUCCCCAAGGCAGCUCCUGAACGGGCUGUUCGACUGGGGCAUCUCCUGGGGGCUCGUUCCUGCAGUGGCUUAAGUCAUGCCGAAUGCUGCUCAGCUGCUCCUUGAUUUCAUUGGUAGCCAGGUCUGUAAACGAAUCCCUCCAAACGAAUAUUCAGCCUUGUAUACUCCUAAGUUUGUGAAUAAAGCCCUGUUGGUGGGACCAACUGCUAGAGCUUUCCUGUGCUCAAAAAGCAUCUGCAGUUCUAGAUAGAAUAAUGAGAGUGUAACGUUUUAAAGCUAUAAGGAUUUCAAAAAUUUAAAGUUUCGGACAGCUGAUUUGAAAGUAAAAAUUCAAGCAGGGAUUUACUCAUUUUUUCAUUAAGCCACCUGAAACAAAUCACAGUGGCUGCUCAAGAUGCUUUCACUGAAGGACCGGGACGUUUGCCCGUACUAACCAAGCAGGGCCGGCUGGGGAACGGGGCCGGGGGCCGGAGCCAGCGCGGCUGCUGGACCCGCUGCCUCGGCGCGUGGAGCAUCUCCCGGCCCGGGUACCAAAUCCUUCCUGUGCUGCCCGGGGGCCGGCCGCAGCCCCGGGGGUGGCUCCCGGCGCUGAGGAGCUUCCGUCUCGCUCGUGCCGGCGCCCGCGGAUGCUCGGGGGGUCACGACGCCCGACACAACCCCCCGCGGCCCUAUGGCCUCCGCAAGCCUGCGGACCCCGGCGCUGCCCCCAGCUGAGCAAACCUUAAACCUCCAACUUCCAGGCAUGUCAUGAGACCUACGGAGUGCUUCUGCAGGACUCUGAAACCCUUGGACGACAAGCAGGCUAAAAUAUCGCUAGUCCCUGGGGAAUUUUCCCCUUCAGCGACGAGUUGGGCUUUUUAUUUAGCAAACGGUGCUGUCUGAGGACUGUCCUGACUGUGAUUAUUUCUGAGGCAAAGCAGCAGCGCAUUCACCAAGGCGCUGCUGCAUUUUUAAUAGAUUCCAGUUCAUCGCUGAAAUACAGCAAUGGAGCAAACAAUCCCUGUUGCACCACUGCAGCAAGCCUGACCUGAGGCUGCCUCCAGAAAACGCUCUACAACUUAGUGCAAAACAGGCACAUGCAGGAAUCACUGCGCGAUGUGAGCUGGUUCAAGGGGUCCUAGCUUUUUUUCCUCAGGCAAAAAUGUAUGGAGCCAGAUAAUUCACUUUUUCUGUAAGAAUGUGUCUUCCUUUGCUCUGCAUCUUUUAGUUGGGUAGCGAUCUCUUCUUGUACCUUGGCGGGAGGUCUGGGGCAGUUCAGCAAUGCUAGUAAACAACAUUACAAUAAUGCAGAUUAUGUAAAUGUACUGGGUUAUCUACCAUUUCUUGUGCUGCUUAUGGGAGCAAGUAUUUUCUGGUGUGUGAGCAGGCUGCAGAAUUGAACACUAUUCUCUUUUUAAAAAUGCUUUACAAGAACAGAAAUGUCUUCAGAGAUUCACUCGUCUGAUACCCUAACUAGUGACUGUGAACACAGCACACGCCGUGCAGAAGCCAAAUAACCCUCCAGGAAUUCUUCCUAUUAAAAUAAUUGCUAGGGCAGAGGAAUGCUGCAAACAGCUGUGGUUCAUCCCAUAAACAUAUUCUCCAUCCUUUUGGAGCCUCAGCUUCCAACUUAUGCCAGAGCCUGUCAGCUGCAGGAAUAGUGAAACUUAUUUCCUUUGCAGAAAUGAAACAAUUACCGUUGAAUAAAUAUGUUGUGCAUAGACCUGAACUAUCCAGUGGGUACUGCAUAUGCAAAAAGGAAAAAAGUGAGUGUUUCACACUGAAAUGAGCUGAAGCGACAGUUCAUCUGCCUAACACGAUGGCAGUGGAGCUGCCUUGUAUUAGCAGCCUAGCAACACUGAAUUUAAUGAAAAAAAUCCCCUGAAAUCAGCUGAGCUCUGAAUGGCAUCAUCUUGCCAUUACAGUGCCCUCGCCCUGCCUGGGAAGCAGGCUGCAAAACGCCCCGGGGGACAUGCCAAUAGAGAGAUUCCCCUGCAAACCCAUCCUCCUCCUCCUCCUCCUCCUCCUCCUCUGCAUGUGCAUCCCCACCCGGGUGUGCUGGGGGGCCGGGGCAUCCAGCCCCCCCCGCCUGCCCUGCACUGCUCCUCUGCAGAGCCGGGAGCUCCGGCGCAGAGCCGGGGCCAGGACACUCGUGCUGACUGCAAUGGAGGAUCCAGGCAGGUUGAUUUAUUCUUAAUAUGCCUUUCUCCCAGAAAUGGCCCCAAAACAAAAGCCUUGCUUGUUAGCCCAGGAUGACCGACUGGUCCCCGCUCCGUCCACCUCUGUUGGUAAGCUCCCAGUUUGUUUCAGAGGGCCGAAACUUCCCGACUGCCCCACCAGGCCACCGUCGAGGGGCCUCUCCUCUUCCUCUCCGCUCCGGCCGCGCUGGGUGUCCCCCAGCCUGCGGCUGCUUCGUGGGAUCGGCUCCUGCUUGGUGGAGGCUUCACUGCUGCGAGGAAAAGCUCUUCCCCGGGUUUUGGUUUACAGCGUUGUGAAAAAUAAAAGAUGAGGCCCCUGGGGCUGAGAAGUC